AGAGUUUGAUCCUGGCUCAGGAUGAACGUUGGCGGCGUGCCUAACACAUGCAAGUCGAACGGAAAUAGCAAUAUUUGAGUGGCGCACGGGUGAGUAACACGUAGCUAAUCUACCUCAAAGCGCGGGAUAACGUGUCGAAAGACAGGCUAAUACCGCAUAAGCUCGCGGGCUGUAGAGGCCUGCGAGAAAAGGCGUAAGUCACUUUGAGAUGAGGCUGCGGCCCAUCAGCUAGUUGGCGUGGUAACAGCACACCAAGGCGACGACGGGUAGGGGACCUGAGAGGGUGACCCCCCACAAUGGAACUGAAACACGGUCCAUACACCUACGGGUGGCAGCAGUAGGGAAUAUUGCUCAAUGGGCGAAAGCCUGAAGCAGCAACGCCGCGUGUGUGAUGAAGGCCUUCGGGUCGUAAAGCACUUUUCUGGGAGAUGAGAAAGGACAGUAUCCCAGGAAUAAGUCUCGGCUAACUACGUGCCAGCAGCCGCGGUAAUUC
RNAcentral lists this ribosomal RNA (493 nucleotides) under uncultured bacterium. RNAcentral's name for it is "bacterial SSU rRNA". It matches the Rfam family "Bacterial small subunit ribosomal RNA", at positions 8 to 526 of the family's 1533-position model. The record is from RNAcentral.